Patella vulgata (common limpet) is the source of this 1297-nucleotide long non-coding RNA. RefSeq lists it as uncharacterized. NCBI's taxonomy places the organism in Eukaryota, Metazoa, Mollusca, Gastropoda, Patellidae. The transcript is spliced from 6 exons. The record is from RefSeq and is a predicted model, not a curated record.
AGAGUUUUAGUCCAUUUGAUUUUCUUUUCAAUUGUGGUUUAUAAAAACCGUAAUGUUGCUAACGGAAAUAAUUUUGCCUCUAAUGAUAAUUUUGUGUUUUGAUGUGGUCCAAUCUAAAACGAAAAAACCGAUGCUGGAAAUACCCGCUGAGAAAGCUUGUCCAGGCACAAACAAUGACUUCAGUUACACUGCUAGUCCAGAAAGGCACUACCGCAAUAUGCGACGUCGCUACAAAGGAUGUACUCAUAUUUACGGUAACUUGGAGGUGACACAUCUUAAUAUUGAGAAUUACAACUACGACCUGUCCUUUUUAGAAGACAUCCGUUACGUCUCCGGCUAUGUUUUGAUCGGAUUGUCGUCGGAAAUAUCAGUUCUACCUUUGCCCAGUUUACAGAUCAUUAGAGGUAAUCAGACGAUAAGAAUUCGAGAUGCAGAAGUCAGUCUAGGCGUGGUGCUAAAUUACAGAUUCAGUGACCCCAAAGUAGGACUUACAGAGCUCCAUCUUCCCGCCUUACGAGAGAUUUCAAAUGGCAUCGUCAUGUUUGCCCAAAAUCCACGAUUGUGUUAUGUAGAUACUAUUGAUUGGUUCGCUAUCACAGGUAGAGGAAGGAGGUCAACCAUGUUCCCUCGGGGAGAUCAAACCCCUCCUUUUAAUCGUAAAUGUGAUGGAUGUCCAACGUCUUGUAAGGUUGAAGGCGUAAGUCGAUGUUGGAGUGCUAGUGAAAAGUUGUGUCAACGAGUUUUACCAGAUUCUUGUCAUCGAUCUUGUCCAUAUCGUUGUUUUGGACCUGGUGCUGAAGGGUGUUGUAAUGCUAGCUGUGCUGGAGGAUGUUGGGGACCUUCUGACAGAGAAUGUAUGAUGUGUAAGGACUACAGAAUGUGGAACCAGUGUGUUGGUAGUUGUCCGGCUAGAUACAGCAAGCUUAAUCAGAUUUGUUACCGACUAUAGAUGGACUUCAAAUGACGCACACAUUUAAAGCGGCCAAAAACGCGCGUAAAUUGACAUUUUAAGCAGCUUAGAAUGAUAUGACCUUUCUAGCUAUGUGGUAAAUGUCCAUCUAUUGGAUCGGGUAGAAGACAAAUGAAGAUGACAAUAAAUCAUUCUCUACCAUGAUGAUUAUGAAUUUCCAGCGGACCUUUAGUGUUAUUACUUCUACUUGACAUUUAAACUGCAAUAAGUGAUUUUUUGAAGAAAAGAAAAUUAAAUCUUACCUUAUAAUCUUUUACUGGUUUUCCAGUUCAAGGGCAGAGACUAUUUUCGAAUCAGAGUACAUAAUAAAAUAACAUAGAAAUGGAA